This 471-nucleotide long non-coding RNA is filed under the name Setaria viridis. RNAcentral's name for it is "long non-coding RNA (SVIR_LNC011335)". The record is from RNAcentral. Lineage: Eukaryota; Viridiplantae; Streptophyta; Magnoliopsida; Poales; Poaceae.
UUGUGCCAGAGACUCACCCCCACUUCAUCGGCACCUACUGGGGCGCAGUUAGCACUGCCUUUUGUGCUGAGAUUGUUGAGUCCGCAGAUGCCUACCUCUUUGCUGGACCCAUUUUCAAUGACUACAGCUCUGUUGGCUACUCUUUCCUCCUGAAGAAGGACAAGGCCAUCAUCGUCCAACCUGAACGUGUGAUAGUUGGGAAUGGGCCGGCAUUUGGAUGUGUCAUGAUGAAGGAGUUCUUGUCUGGAUUGGCUAAGAGGGUUAAGAAGAACACCACUGCCUAUGAGAACUAUAAGAGGAUCUUUGUGCCUGAGGGCCAGCCACUGGAAAGUGAGCCGAAUGAGCCACUGCGUGUCAAUGUACUCUUCAAGCACGUUCAGAAGAUGCUGACAGGUGACAGUGCCGUGAUCGCUGAGACUGGUGACUCCUGGUUCAACUGCCAGAAGCUCAAGCUGCCCGAGGGCUGUGGGU